AUAUUUUAAUUUGGGUGAAAUAUAGAAUAAACAGUAGUUAAUACAAUAAAAGAAAAAAAUCUGUUCUUAUAAGUUUAAUACCUGAUAUGUCCCCAUCUGGGGACCAUAUAUUAAAUUGACUUUUAGAACAGGAAGAUGGAAUAGGGGCUUGCUCCGUCCACUCCACGCAUUGAGCUGGUAUUGAAACUUCCGUGAGCGGUGCACUUUCU
This 209-nucleotide small nuclear RNA is filed under the name Erpetoichthys calabaricus (reedfish). RNAcentral describes it as "U2 spliceosomal RNA (ENSECRG00000013152.1)". It matches the Rfam family "U2 spliceosomal RNA". Rfam says of the family: U2 is a small nuclear RNA (snRNA) component of the spliceosome (involved in pre-mRNA splicing). Lineage: Eukaryota; Metazoa; Chordata; Cladistia; Polypteriformes; Polypteridae. The record is from Rfam by way of RNAcentral.